RNAcentral lists this unclassified non-coding RNA (443 nucleotides) under soil metagenome. Its description in RNAcentral is "partial contains 5.8S ribosomal RNA, internal transcribed spacer 2, and large subunit ribosomal RNA". The stretch from base 1 to 123 matches the Rfam family "5.8S ribosomal RNA", at positions 35 to 154 of the family's 154-position model. The record is from RNAcentral.
GAUGAAGAACGCAGCGAAAUGCGAUAAGUAGUGUGAAUUGCAGAAUUCAGUGAAUCAUCGAAUCUUUGAACGCACAUUGCGCCUUCCUGGAUUUUUCCGGGAGGCAUGCCUGUCCGAGCGUCAUAAAAACCACUUCAAGCCUGCUUUGUUGUCUGUCCCUCUUAGGGAUAUUCAUCUUGCCCAGUGUCUUGGUCGAUGAGGGAUGAGCGCAUCAGUGUGUGCUGCUCCCCCUCGAAUUCCAGUGGCGGGACGAUCUUUGAAAAGUUUCAGCCGGUGUAGUAAAAAUCUUUUUUCUCUCGCCGCCGUUCGAAUUCGAAUGAAAAACAUGAAACAGCACACAGAUUGUUGUCCCUGCCAACUUUAACCCCCCAAAAAUCAUAAUGUUUUGACCUCGGAUCAGGUAGGGAUACCCGCUGAACUUAAGCAUAUCAAUAAGCGGAGGA